Molecule: long non-coding RNA, 890 nt
Organism: Xenia sp. Carnegie-2017
Lineage: Eukaryota; Metazoa; Cnidaria; Anthozoa; Malacalcyonacea; Xeniidae
Exons: 2
Source: RefSeq, a predicted model, not a curated record
UUAUUAUUAAAUACAUAACAUAUUUAACAAGUAUAACAUGUUCAUUUGUAGGCUGUGAUUCCACAAGCGCCUUUGCUGGAAAAGGCAAAGUAAAGCCUUGGAAAUUGCUUUUAGAAAAUCCUGAGUUUUUAGAGUCUUUCUCGUUGCUUGGCCAAUCGUUUGAGAUUUCCGAAGAAGUUUCCACUCUUUGAAUAGAUUUGUCUGCCUGCUUUAUGGCGACAAAAAGGGAACUUGCGUCAAUGAUUCAAGGUACGCCUUGUUUGUGUCUGGGAAAUGUUCUGACGAUUGCCUCCCCCCUAACACAGACAGUCUGAUUGUGCACAUCGAGAGAUCAAACUAUCAAGCAUAUAUUUGGAACAAAUGCCUUCUGCCGAAAAUGAGACUCCAGCCCCCGUCUGGAAACGGAUGGCUCAUCAAAGACGACCAAUUGAAAGUACUAUGGAUGACUCGGCCGUCAGCACCUGACACCCUAAUUGAGGUCGUCACCUGCCAUUGUAAAACUGGGUGCAAAACCCUUAGAUGCUCAUGUUUGAAGUCUGGCUUUAAAUGUACCGACUUGUGUGGCUGCGCGGACUGCUGUAAUUUUGUUGCAGGAGAUGACGAUUUGUCAGAAGAUGAGAAUGAUGAUGAUGAUUGUGAUGAUAAAGACGAUGAGUACGAUAGUGAGGAAGAUUAAUAGAUUUACAGAUUUAUAGAUUAUCGCUUGAGGAAUAUGCGCGCAUCACAUCAAAUUUGUCGAUUCAGGUCGCACGUUUAGUAUAAUUAGUCAUAUAAUAAUAUAAUGUUAUGUAUUAUUUGCUCAUAUAAUUAGACCAUUUAAAAGGUCAUAUGAAUCUGCAUUGUAUUUGAACGAAAAUAGCUAGUAAGAAAAGGUCUUACUAGGACGCUUA